This 590-nucleotide long non-coding RNA is filed under the name Rattus norvegicus (Norway rat). Its description in RNAcentral is "long non-coding RNA NONRATT030544". The record is from RNAcentral. Lineage: Eukaryota; Metazoa; Chordata; Mammalia; Rodentia; Muridae.
UAUAUAUAGUGAUAUAUAUAUAUAUAUAUAUAUAUAUAUAUAACAAAACUAGAUAAGAAGCUAAGAAGUACAUGCUGACAGGAAGCCGAUAUAGAUGUCUCCUGAGAGGCUCAGCUAGAGAGUAACAAAUACAGAGUCGAAUGCUAGCAGCAAACCAUUGAACUGAGAAUGGUCCUCAUUGGGGAAAUUAGAGAAAGGAUUGAAGGAGCUGAAGGGGCUUGCAACCCCAGAAGAACAAUAAUACCAACCAACCAGAGCUCCCAAGGACUAAACCACCAUCCAAAGAGUACAUAUGAACCGACCCAUGGCUCCAGUUUCAUAUGUAGUAGAGUAUGGCUUUCUUGGGCACCAAUGGGAAUAGAAGCCCUUGUUCCUGCCAAGACUGGACCCCCCCAGUGUAGGAUAAUGUCAGGGAGGCGGGAACUCAGGGUUUAUUUGUUAGGGGAACAACCCUUAUAGAAUAUGGGGUGGGAAAUGCAAUAGGGGGCUUAUGGACAGAAUACCAGGAAAGGGAAUAACAUUUGAAAUGUAUUAAAAAUAUCCAAUAAAAUAUGAUAUAAGUCGAAUUUGUACAAGAUAUCCUUAAAUUC